GACCCGUCCAACGUGGCUACGGGAACUUAAGAGUUGGGGGUGGCUGGACAUUUCCCACACCUGGGAUGACCCCCAGGUUGAGAGCUGGCACCCAGACCAUCUAACAGAAUCAGGAUUCAGAUGUUCCUGACAGGCUGAAGUGAGGGGUGUCUUGGACAAAUGCAUUUUAAGAGCUAAGUGCAGGCUCCUGUACUUGGCCGUGAACGCACCAGUCACAGAGAGGCUGUCACCAGUGGGCUGGAAGCCGAGUCUCCAGAGCGAAGGGACCACCGCAGAGCGAAGCCCCAAGCUCACAUGAAGAGGCCCAAAGGGCAAACCAGAGCGAGGAGGGGCCCUGGAAGGGCUGGCCCAAGGCAGCAACGGGCAGGAAAGCUUCCUCCCCAGCUCUGCUCCCCGGGCUCUCCCCACCCCCUAUCCACAACCCCUUUAAAACAGGCAUCAGAUCCCAGCCUUCCUCGCCAGCCCAAACCCUCCUGUGAACUCCAUCCCACUCAGCAGCACAUCUGGUCUCAUCAGUGGCAGGACGGUUCAUCUUUUUGUCUGUUUGGUACUCAAAUGCGGCUGCGCAAGAGCAGAGGCUGACCGCUCCAUGGUGGCUCCACCCCAGUACCUAGGACAGUGCCCGACAUGCAGCGGGGCGCACAAAGACCCAAAAGGACCUACGGACGGACGGACGGACAGAUGAGUGAGUGAAUAAGAGACAAACUUCUGGCUCAGAACGGAGGUAGACAACAGUCUCCAAUGUCACAUGCCCCAGGGGCCAACAGUGAGACACGGGGAAUGAGGCUUCUCCUACAAAUUAUGAACUUGAUCACCAUCAGAGCUGUAGGAAGGCAGUGCACUGAGGGUCAGGGAAAAUGCCUGAGCUUCAGACUAAUCCAGGUGACUUGGUGAAAAACAAAAGCAAUUUGAUGGAGAACAAAUUGGAAGGAAAACAAUUCAGCCUGAAGGACAAUUUGAUCUAAAAAAGGACACUCCACCUGAUUUUUUAGAAAUUGGAAUUUUGAUGUAGGGGGAAGUGGAGGGCAUCCUUUUGUACCAUUUCAAAUAUUUUGCUUAAAUUUCAGAAUAAAUUUGCUCUCUGCUUUAAA
Camelus dromedarius (Arabian camel) is the source of this 1091-nucleotide long non-coding RNA. RefSeq lists it as uncharacterized. NCBI's taxonomy places the organism in Eukaryota, Metazoa, Chordata, Mammalia, Artiodactyla, Camelidae. The record is from RefSeq and is a predicted model, not a curated record. The transcript has 2 exons.